GAUGAACGCUGGCGGCGUGCCUAAUACAUGCAAGUCGAGCGACCACACCAUGAGCUUUCUCUUCUGCCGUUAGCGGCUGACGGGUGAGUAACACGUGCAUCACCUUCCUCUUUUUCUUGGAUUAUUUCGGGAAACCGCAUCUAAUACUCGAUAAUAUAUUCAACCGCUUGGUUCAAUAGUUAUUCACGCUUUUCCUGUCUCUUUUAGCUGUUUCCGCGUCGGAUUAGCUAGUUGGUAAGGUAACGGCUUACCAAGGCAACGAGGCGUAGCUGACCUGAGAGGAUGAUAGGCCACACUGGAACUGAGACACGGUCCAGACUCCUACGGGAGGCAGCAGUAGGGAAUAUUGGGCAAUGGGCGAAAGCCUGACGGAGCAACGCCGCGUGAGUGAAGAAGGUCUUCGGAUCGUAAAACUCUGUUAUUAGGAAAGAAAAAAUGUGUAAGAAAAUAUGCACGUCUUGACGGUACCUAAACAAAAAGCAACGGCUAACUACGUG
RNAcentral lists this ribosomal RNA (497 nucleotides) under uncultured bacterium. RNAcentral's name for it is "partial 16S ribosomal RNA". It matches the Rfam family "Bacterial small subunit ribosomal RNA", at positions 28 to 507 of the family's 1533-position model. The record is from RNAcentral.